This 312-nucleotide ribosomal RNA is filed under the name uncultured bacterium. Its description in RNAcentral is "bacterial SSU rRNA". It matches the Rfam family "Bacterial small subunit ribosomal RNA", at positions 28 to 334 of the family's 1533-position model. The record is from RNAcentral.
GAUGAACGCUAGCGGCAGGCUUAACACAUGCAAGUCGAACGGUAACAUAUCUUGCUUGCAAGAUGAUGACGAGUGGCGGACGGGUGCGUAACGCGUAUGCAACCUACCUUUAACUGGGUGAUAGCCAGAAAGAAAUUCUGAUUAAUACCCCAUAACAUAUAUUCUUCGCAUGUUGAAUAUAUCAAAGCUUUGGCGGUUAAAGAUGGGCAUGCGUGACAUUAGUUAGUUGGUAAGGUAACGGCUUACCAAGGCUGCGAUGUCUAGGGGGUCUGAGAGGAUUAUCCCCCACACUGGUACUGAGACACGGACCAG